This 494-nucleotide ribosomal RNA is filed under the name uncultured bacterium. RNAcentral describes it as "partial 16S ribosomal RNA". It matches the Rfam family "Bacterial small subunit ribosomal RNA", at positions 28 to 507 of the family's 1533-position model. The record is from RNAcentral.
GACGAACGCUGGCGGCGUGCUUAACACAUGCAAGUCGAACGGUGAAGCGCCUUCCUUUUUGGUGGGUGUGGAUGAGUGGCGAACGGGUGAGUAACACGUGAGUAACCUGCCCCCUUCUUCUGGAUAACCGCAUGAAAGUGUGGCUAAUACGGGAUAUUCUGGGUCUGUCGCAUGAUGGGUCUGGGAAAGAUAUUGUUUCGGUGGGGGAUGGGCUCGCGGCCUAUCAGCUUGUUGGUGGGGUGAUGGCCUACCAAGGCGGUGACGGGUAGCCGGCCUGAGAGGGUGGACGGUCACACUGAGACUGAGACACGGCCCAGACUCCUACGGGAGGCAGCAGUGGGGAAUAUUGCACAAUGGGCGCAAGCCUGAUGCAGCGACGCCGCGUGAGGGAUGGAGGCCUUCGGGUUGUGAACCUCUUUCGCCAGUGAAGCAGGCCUGCCUCGUUUGUGGGUGGGUUGACGGUAGCUGGAUAAGAAGCGCCGGCUAACUACGUG